Molecule: long non-coding RNA, 427 nt
Filed under: Parus major (Great Tit)
Lineage: Eukaryota; Metazoa; Chordata; Aves; Passeriformes; Paridae
Description: lncRNA (ENSPMJG00000007054.1)
Source: RNAcentral
CAUGACCUACAAGAAUGAGAGAAAUUUUAGCAAACAUCCCAAGCAUCAGCUGUUUCAAAAUAUCUUUACAACUUUAGGGCGAGAAUCUGAACACUCUUCAGUUGGAAGUUUAUCUGGUGCAAAUGCAGCAGGGAGAAUCCAGGAUCUUCAUUUGUCAGAUGAACUGAGUCCUGAUGAGAUACAAGAAAGUAUUUUCUCACUUCAAGCAGGUAUAUCAGGUCUAAUAUUUAUAAGGUCUAAUAUUCUGUUAUGUCUUUACAUACAGUUGUGCAAAAGGAUUCAAAAUAUUGCAAAAUUGUCAAUUUUUAUACCUGCUUUAGGGAGUAGGAGAAUCAAAUUCAAUUUUUUUAUUUGCAGAUGUGUGAUACCAGCAUGUAUUUUCAGAAAGUAUUCUUUUGUUAGAAAGAAGCAAAGCAUGAAGUAUUAA